This 657-nucleotide ribosomal RNA is filed under the name Dactylospongia elegans. RNAcentral describes it as "partial large subunit ribosomal RNA". It matches the Rfam family "Eukaryotic large subunit ribosomal RNA", at positions 659 to 1290 of the family's 3401-position model. Lineage: Eukaryota; Metazoa; Porifera; Demospongiae; Dictyoceratida; Thorectidae. The record is from RNAcentral.
ACACGGACCAAGGAGUGCAACAUGUGCGCGAGCCCUCUGGCGAGUAAACCAGAAGGCGCAAUGAAAGUGAAGGCACGGUCGCCGUGCUGAGGUGAGAGCUGUCCAUGGCAGCACAUCAUCGACCGAUCCCAUCCACGCCCUCGUGGUGUGGCGGGAUUCGAGUAAGAGUGUACCUGUUGCGACCCGAAAGAUGGUGAACUAUGCCUGAAUAGGGUGAAGCCAGAGGAAACUCUGGUGGAGGCCCGUAGCGAUUCUGACGUGCAAAUCGAUCGUCAAAUUUGGGUAUAGGGGCGAAAGACUAAUCGAACCAUCUAGUAGCUGGUUCCCUCCGAAGUUUCCCUCAGGAUAGCUGUAGCCCUAAGCAGUUUUAUCAGGUAAAGCGAAUGAUUAGAGGUAUCGGGGAAGAAACUUCCUCGACCUAUUCUCAAACUUUAAAUAGGUAAGAAGUCCGACUUGCUCAAUUUGAAGCCGGACACAGAAUGCUGGGUUACUAGUGGGCCAUUUUUGGUAAGCAGAACUGGCGAUGCGGGAUGAACCGAACGCCGAGUUAAGGUGCCAAAGUCGACGCUCAUCAGAUCCCACAAAAGGUGUUGGUUGAUAUAGACAGCAGGACGGUGGCCAUGGAAGUCGGAAUCCGCUAAGGAGUGUGUAACAACU